AGGGAAAUGACCCCCACUCGCGCCUGGGAGGCGGUGAGUGGCACAGGCAGGUCGCACCCUCUACGGGCCCCCUCGGUUACGCUGGCCGUGGGCAUCCUGGAGCCUCGGAGCAUCAGCCUGCGCACGAAGGUGGCCCGGCUACUUUUUCAUUCAUAAAAUCUCGACCGGGCGGUUGCCCGGAUGAUUUAUGAGGCCGCGCGCUGUCACAGGCGGCGCCCGUCCCUAGGGGCGAAGGGUCCGAGUCCCGCGUGCGCCAGGCCCAGGCCAAGACUCGCAGAAGCCUACCUGGAUCCAUGGAGGUCAUGAGAACCCACCCUGCCUGCCCAGGCCCAUGCUGUCAUGGUGAAAUGAUCCAAAGGGCCCUAAUCUCUCUCUUCAGCACUGGGGAUUGAUCCUUGCUAGGUUGGUGACCACAUGCACAGGAGUCUCCUAAGGGAAAAAGCCAGGUGCGUGGCUAUCACCAAGAAGACCUGAUGGAAAGAAGCAGAAUUCUUUUGUGCCUGGAGCAUGGAAAUCCAGCUAGACCCUUCCUCUUUCCAUUUCCUUCUGGGAUGAGUCAUUUAAAUGGGGCUGGACUUGGAGGCCUGAAGGCGAC
This is a long non-coding RNA of Heterocephalus glaber (naked mole-rat), 595 nucleotides long. The record is from Ensembl. NCBI's taxonomy places the organism in Eukaryota, Metazoa, Chordata, Mammalia, Rodentia, Bathyergidae.